This 497-nucleotide ribosomal RNA is filed under the name uncultured bacterium. Its description in RNAcentral is "partial 16S ribosomal RNA". It matches the Rfam family "Bacterial small subunit ribosomal RNA", at positions 28 to 507 of the family's 1533-position model. The record is from RNAcentral.
GAUGAACGCUGGCGGCGUGCCUAAUACAUGCAAGUCGAGCGAACGGACGAGAAGCUUGCUUCUCUGAUGUUAGCGGCGGACGGGUGAGUAACACGUGGAUAACCUACCUAUAAGACUGGGAUAACUUCGGGAAACCGUAGCUAAUACCGGAUAAUAUUUUGAACCGCAUGGUUCAAAAGUGAAAGACGGUCUUGCUGUCACUUAUAGAUGGAUCCGCGCUGCAUUAGCUAGUUGGUAAGGUAACGGCUUACCAAGGCAACGAUGCAUAGCCGACCUGAGAGGGUGAUCGGCCACACGGGAACUGAGGCACAGUCCAGACUCCGACGGGAGGCAGCAGUAGAGAAUCUUCCGCGAGGGGCGAGAGCCGGACGGAGCAACGCCGCGUGAGUGAUGAAGGUCUUCGGAUCGGAAAACUCUGUUAUUAGGGAAGAACAUAUGUGUAAGUGACUGUGCACAUCUUGACGGUACCUAAUCAGAAAGCCACGGCUAACUACGUG